GCCGUAGUGAUGUAACGGUAGCACACUCGACUCGUAUUCGAGAGGCUCAGGGUUCGAGUCCUUGCGAGGGCA
RNAcentral lists this transfer RNA (72 nucleotides) under Stegodyphus mimosarum. It matches the Rfam family "tRNA". From Rfam's summary of the family: Transfer RNA (tRNA) molecules are approximately 80 nucleotides in length. Their secondary structure includes four short double-helical elements and three loops (D, anti-codon, and T loops). The record is from Rfam by way of RNAcentral. Lineage: Eukaryota; Metazoa; Arthropoda; Arachnida; Araneae; Eresidae.